AUACGGAGGGUGCGAGCGUUAAUCGGAAUUACUGGGCGUAAAGCGUGCGUAGGCGGUUGAUUUAGUCAGAUGUGAAAGCCCCGGGCUCAACCUGGGAACUGCAUUUGAAACUGGUCAACUGGAGUAUGGUAGAGGGGGGUAGAAUUUCUGGUGUAGCGGUGAAAUGCGUAGAUAUCAGAAGGAAUACCGAUGGCGAAGGCAGCCCCCUGGAACACUACUGACGCUGAGGCGCGAAGGCGUGGGGAGCAAACAGGAUUAGAAACCCCGGUAGUCC
Molecule: ribosomal RNA, 274 nt
Filed under: uncultured bacterium
Lineage: Bacteria
Description: partial 16S ribosomal RNA
Rfam family: Bacterial small subunit ribosomal RNA
Source: RNAcentral